Molecule: ribosomal RNA, 440 nt
Filed under: uncultured bacterium
Lineage: Bacteria
Description: bacterial SSU rRNA
Rfam family: Bacterial small subunit ribosomal RNA
Source: RNAcentral
CCUACGGGGGGCUGCAGUCGAGAAUCUUCGGCAAUGGGCGAAAGCCUGACCGAGCAAUGCCGCGUGCGGGAUGAAGGCCCUCGGGUUGUAAACCGCUGUCGUAGGGGAGAAAGGUCUCGCGAAGAGCGAGAUUUGAUCUAUCCUAGGAGGAAGUCCGGGCUAAGUUCGUGCCAGCAGCCGCGGUAACACGAACCGGACGAACGUUAUUCGGAAUUAUUGGGCUUAAAGGGUGCGUAGGCGGUGCGGUAAGUGCGGUGUGAAAUCCCACGGCUCAACCGUGGAAUUGCGCUGCAUACUGCCGUGCUCGAGGAAGACAGGGGUAAGCGGAACUGAUGGUGGAGCGGUGAAAUGCGUUGAUAUCAUCAGGAACACCGGUGGCGAAAGCGGCUUACUGGGUCUUUUCUGACGCUGAGGCACGAAAGCUAGGGUAGCGAACGGGA